UACGGGGGGGGCAAGCGUUGUUCGGAAUUACUGGGCGUAAAGGGCUCGUAGGUGGCCAACUAAGUCAGACGUGAAAUCCCUCAGCUUAACUGGGGAACUGCGUCUGAUACUGGAUGGCUUGAGUUUGGGAGAGGGAUGCGGAAUUCCAGGUGUAGCGGUGAAAUGCGUAGAUAUCAAGAGGAACACCUGAGGUGAAGACGGGUUGCUGGGCUGACACUGACGCUGAGGCGCGAAAGCGUGGGGAGCAAACAGG
RNAcentral lists this ribosomal RNA (253 nucleotides) under uncultured bacterium. Its description in RNAcentral is "partial 16S ribosomal RNA". It matches the Rfam family "Bacterial small subunit ribosomal RNA", at positions 524 to 776 of the family's 1533-position model. The record is from RNAcentral.